RNAcentral lists this ribosomal RNA (617 nucleotides) under uncultured fungus. Its description in RNAcentral is "bacterial SSU rRNA". It matches the Rfam family "Eukaryotic small subunit ribosomal RNA", at positions 244 to 810 of the family's 1831-position model. Lineage: Eukaryota; Fungi. The record is from RNAcentral.
UGGUGAUUAUAAUAACUUCUCGAAUCGCAUGGCCUUGCGCGGGAUGCUUCAUUCAAAUAUCUGCCCUAUCAACUUUCGAUGGUAGGAUAGUGGCCUACCAUGGUUUCAACGGGUAACGGGGAAUUAGGGUUCUAUUCCGGAGAGGGAGCCUGAGAACGGCUACCACAUCCAAGGAAGGCAGCAGGCGCGCAAAUUACCCAAUCCCGACACGGGGAGGUAGUGACAAUAAAUACUGAUACAGGGCUCUUUUGGGUCUUGUAAAUUGGACAAUGAGUACAAUUUAAAUCCCUUAAACGAGGAACAAAUUGGGAGGGGCAAAGGUUCUUGGUUGCCAGCAGCCCGGCGGGUUAAAAUUUCCAAGCUCCCAAAUAAGGCGGUAAUAUUCAAACGUUUGUUGCAGUUAAAAAGCUCCGGUAGUUGAACCUUGGGGGCCCCAUGGGCUUGGUCGGGUUCCAGCCUUCAACCGGCGUUGGGCACUUGAUCCGGGCCGGGGCCCUUUCCUCCUUGGAGGAGCCGGAUGCCCUUCACUGGGUGUGUACAGGGGAACCAGGACUUUUUACUUUGAGAAAAAUUAGAGUGUUCAAAGCAAGGGCCAUUUGCCCGGAAUACAUUAGCAU